AAUGAAUAUAAUUUGGAUCCACCCGCCUUCUCUCUCAUCUAAAAAAUCAGAAAUCCCGUUAAACUUCACUCAGCCCUCUUCCAUGGUCGCUGAACUUACUCAGCCGUUUCAUCCAUUUUUGCUCAAGAAUCAAAGAACGAAACCCUAAUUUUUUUUUUUACACUUCAAGUAGGAUCGAACCCUAAUUUCAUGCUGCAAUAGAUUGUAGUCGUCCUCUGAAUCCUCUUUUCUCUAUUGAAGCCGACCAAGCCGUACUCUGAAUUCUCCAUUGAAGCGCCUUUUGAUCUCAUAGAUGGUGGUGGUAGGCGUGUCAGCCUAGUCGUCAGAUUGAACCUUCAAUUCGACAUACUCAAUUCAAAGGUAAUCCUACAACUGAGCAUUUUCUGGGAAGGACGGAUGUGCAAUGCCUACAUCAGUGGCAAAAAGUUCUUAAUCCCGAACUGGUUAAAUGACCUUGGACAAAGGAGGAGGAUGAUUGUAUCAUUGAGAUGGUUCAGAAGCAUGGUUGCAGGAGCUGGUCUGUCAUUGCAAAGAGGUGGCCUGGUCGGAUAGGCAAGCAAUGUCAGGAGAGGUAUCUAUUUGACGAGUAUAUCUCGUUAUUUCAGCUAUCUAAUAUCACCUUUCUAUGCCCCGGGAGAAUUUCUGUUGCUGAAAAAAAGGAUAAAAGGAUUUUCACGAGGUAUACAUGGGAAGAGAUGCAUCAUACAAUGAUGGUGAGCUCAAUGAAAUUUGGGAGCAAUGGUCCAGGUUCUUUAGAAAUAAAUAUAUAUUGAAAGAUUAAUCUUAGUUUUAUUUAGAUUUUUAAGAUGGAAAUGUGUACUCAACUUUUAAUAUUUAUUUGAGAUUUUUUUUUUUGGUGAUUGUGAAGAUAACUGGUUAUUAAGACGAUGUUGGAUUAGUUCAAAUUACAAAGGAAACAAUGUCAAAUUUUGACAGGUUUGAUGUAUGAUUACAAGGACGACGUAUUGUAAUUUGACAGGUUGAUGAUUGAUUAUUAUCCCCAAAUUGAUUGGGGGAAUUAGUUCAAAUUACAAAGGAAAUUACAAA
Chenopodium quinoa (quinoa) is the source of this 1047-nucleotide long non-coding RNA. RefSeq lists it as uncharacterized. Lineage: Eukaryota; Viridiplantae; Streptophyta; Magnoliopsida; Caryophyllales; Amaranthaceae. The transcript is spliced from 5 exons. The record is from RefSeq and is a predicted model, not a curated record.